GAGUUUGAUCGUGGCUCAGAUUGAACGCUGGCGGCAGGCUUAACACAUGCAAGUCGAGCGGGGGAGAUUGCUUCGGUAAUUGACCUAGCGGCGGACGGGUGAGUAAUACUUAGGAAUCUGCCUAUUAAUGGGGGACAACAUCUCGAAAGGGAUGCUAAUACCGCAUACGCCCUACGGGGAAAGCAGGGGAUCACUUGUGACCUUGCGUUAAUAGAUGAGCCUAAGUCGGAUUAGCUAGUUGGUGGGGUAAAGGCCUACCAAGGCGACGAUCUGUAGCGGGUCUGAGAGGAUGAUCCGCCACACUGGGACUGAGACACGGCCCAGACUCCUACGGGAGGCAGCAGUGGGGAAUAUUGGACAAUGGGGGGAACCCUGAUCCAGCCAUGCCGCGUGUGUGAAGAAGGCCUUAUGGUUGUAAAGCACUUUAAGCGAGGAGGAGGCUCCUGUAGUUAAUACCUACAGAGAGUGGACGUUACUCGCAGAAUAAGCACCGGCUAACUCUGUGCCAGCAGCCGU
This 516-nucleotide ribosomal RNA is filed under the name uncultured microorganism. RNAcentral describes it as "bacterial SSU rRNA". It matches the Rfam family "Bacterial small subunit ribosomal RNA", at positions 9 to 518 of the family's 1533-position model. The record is from RNAcentral.